RNAcentral lists this long non-coding RNA (1369 nucleotides) under Hordeum vulgare. RNAcentral's name for it is "long non-coding RNA (HVUL_LNC021144)". Lineage: Eukaryota; Viridiplantae; Streptophyta; Magnoliopsida; Poales; Poaceae. The record is from RNAcentral.
GUGGGGGUAGGAGAAGCCUCCCUCUCCAUUGCUGAAGGGCCAUGCCUAAGAAAUUUCGGGGCCAGUGCGAAAGCUCAAUUAAGUCAAGCCCUACUUAUAUUUGGAAAAAGAAAUCAUGCGAGACAAACUGAAUAUUUCGAUAAAUCAUGCUCAUUGCUAUUAUAGCAGCAUGAGAAUAUCGAUCCGUCCUGGCGACCAUUUGUUUUGCUAUUCCUAAUGCAUUCCAAAAACCAGUUUGUAUAUAGACACCUAUUGGAAAAAGACACAACCCUGCUGCAAACCUACUAUAUAUAGUACUCCCUCUGUCCCAAAAUGAGUGACGCAAAUUUAGUACUGAUCGAGUUAGUAUACUAAAGCAGCGACACUUAUCUUGGGAUGGAGGGAGUAGUAUAGUAUUUUCAAUAUGAAGCUUAAAGAGCAGCAUAAUUACGAUGGUCAUGUUCUUUGUUGUUUGACCAAGUGGUUACUAUAAUGUUGGGUUCUCUGAUUCUCAUUUUCAUGGUGCAGAGCAAGUCUCUGAAUGGAACAAUAAUUUUUUUUAAUGAUUUUUGUAGCUUGUGUGGCUUCUGCUGAUUGAAUUAUGAUGCCUCUAACUAAAGUAAACCUGAGCAGCAACCAUGGCACAAAUCUUUCACACAUUCCAUUCCACUCCAUACAUCUUGAGCACAAGUGACAACACAUAGACAGACUAACGGCAUGAACCAAGUGUAGAAAUGACUAGAAUGUGAAAGCAGAGUGUCUCAGAGUUACUGAAGCGCAGGCAGCGAGUAAUUAACCGAAACAAGAGUUACUGAAGCUUACCAGGGUCUGCAAAAGAAUGGUGGUGAAGAACACACACGCAAGUCGAGCGAGCCUGCAAUCAAUCAAUCAAUCAGGCAACAUUGAUUCUGUGAGUGAAAGCAAGACAGAAAACAAAACAGUCGUCGAGUGGUUACUUAAAUGAAGCUGACAAACAAUCGGUUAAUGGACGAUGGACUUACACUGUGAGCAGGGCACACAUCAGCAUCACCAUCCACGCAGCAGCAGCAGCACGAAGGAGAAGGACCAAGACCAACACAUACACACACACAUGCAAACAAGUCAGUCACCUUCCAAGGGGCCGGGAGGGGAGAGGUAGGCAGCUAGCUAGGAGUCCCUCACCUUCCAUGGCCAUGGCCAUCGCCAUCGUCGUCCUCGUCCUCCUCCUCUCGGCUUCUCGAUGGGCGUCGUCUCCUCCUGCACCGGAGGAGAGUGACAGAGAUAGACGGAGGAGGAGGGGAGGGAGUUGUUGAGCUGUUUCUGUCCGCUCCAAAAAUAUCUAUCCGCUUUCCCUAAAAAGGAUCACGUUGAGAUCUGUCUUUCCCUUAGAAAAAUAGUGGUAGGGUCUUUG